This 491-nucleotide ribosomal RNA is filed under the name uncultured bacterium. Its description in RNAcentral is "partial 16S ribosomal RNA". It matches the Rfam family "Bacterial small subunit ribosomal RNA", at positions 29 to 506 of the family's 1533-position model. The record is from RNAcentral.
AGUGAACGCUGGCGGUAGGCCUAACACAUGCAAGUCGAACGGCAGCACAGUAAGAGCUUGCUCUUACGGGUGGCGAGUGGCGGACGGGUGAGGAAUACAUCGGAAUCUACUUUUUCGUGGGGGAUAACGUAGGGAAACUUACGCUAAUACCGCAUACGACCUACGGGUGAAGGCAGGGGAUCUUCGGACCUUGCGCGAUUGAAUGAGCCGAUGUCGGAUUAGCUAGUUGGCGGGGUAAAGGCCCACCAAGGCGACGAUCCGUAGCUGGUCUGAGAGGAUGAUCAGCCACACUGGAACUGAGACACGGUCCAGACUCCUACGGGAGGCAGCAGUGGGGAAUAUUGGACAGUGGGCGCAAGCCUGAUCCAGCCAUACCGCGUGGGUGAAGAAGGCCUUCGGGUUGUAAAGCCCUUUUGUUGGGAAAGAAAAGCAGCAGGUUAAUACCCCGCUGUUCUGACGGUACCCAAAGAAUAAGCACCGGCUAACUUCGU